RNAcentral lists this ribosomal RNA (421 nucleotides) under uncultured archaeon. RNAcentral describes it as "bacterial SSU rRNA". It matches the Rfam family "Archaeal small subunit ribosomal RNA", at positions 459 to 880 of the family's 1478-position model. The record is from RNAcentral.
CAGCCGCCGCGGUAAAACCAGCACCUCAAGUGGUCAGGAUGAUUAUUGGGCCUAAAGCAUCCGUAGCCCGUUUUGUAAGUUUUCGGUUAAAUCCAUGCGCUUAACGUAUGGGCUGCCGGGAAUACUGCAUAACUAGGAAGUGGGAGAGGUAGACGGUACUCGGUAGGAAGGGGUAAAAUCCUUUGAUCUAUUGAUGACCACCUGUGGCGAAGGCGGUCUACCAGAACACGUUCGACGGUGAGGGAUGAAAGCUGGGGGAGCAAACCGGAUUAGAUACCCGGGUAGUCCCAGCUGUAAACUAUGCAAACUCAGUGAUGCAUUGGCUUAUGGCCAAUGCAGUGCUGCAGGGAAGCCGUUAAGUUUGCCGCCUGGGAAGUACGUACGCAAGUAUGAAACUUAAAGGAAUUGGCGGGGGGGAGCA